Molecule: ribosomal RNA, 497 nt
Filed under: uncultured bacterium
Lineage: Bacteria
Description: partial 16S ribosomal RNA
Rfam family: Bacterial small subunit ribosomal RNA
Source: RNAcentral
GACGAACGCUGGCGGCGUGCCUAAUACAUGCAAGUCGAACGAACGGAGAAAGAGCUUGCUCGUUGGAAGUGGGUGGCUGAUGUGUGGGUAACAGGUGGGUAACCGGCCUCACAUCUGGGGAUAAGAUCGAGAAAUCGAUGCUAAUCCCAAGUGUGCUGAACAGCAUAAGAUGUUCAAGUGAAAGACGGUUUCGGCUUUCACUGUUAGGUGGACCGUCGCGGGAUUAGCUAGUUGGUAAGGUAAUGGCUUACCAAGGCGACGAUCUAUAGCCGACCUGAGAGGGUGAUCGGCCACAUUGGGACUGAGACACGGCCCAAACUCCUACGGGAGGCAGCAGUAGGGAAUUUUCGGCAAUGGACGCAAGUCUGACCGAGCAACGCCGCGUGAGGGAAGAAGGCCUUCGGGUCGUAAAGCUCUGUUGUUAGAGAAGAACAUGGGUGAGAGUAACUGUUCACCCCUUGACGGUAUCUAAACAGAAAGCAACGGCUAACUACGUG